CUACGGGCGGCAGCAGUGAGGAAUAUUGCACAAUGGAGGAAACUCUGAUGCAGCAACGCCGCGUGGAGGAUGACGCAUUUCGGUGUGUAAACUCCUUUUAUAUGUCAAGAAAAUGACGGUAGCAUAUGAAUAAGCACCGGCUAACUCCGUGCCAGCAGCCGAGGUAAUAUGGAGGGUGCAAGCGUUACUCGGAAUCACUGGGCGUAAAGGACGCGUAGGCGGGAUAUCAAGUCAGGUGUGAAAUCCUACAGCUUAACUGUAGAACUGCACUUGAAACUGGUAACCUAGAGUAUGGGAGGGGGAGAUGGAAUUAGUGGUGUAGGGGUAAAAUCCGUAGAUAUCACUAGGAAUACCUAAAGCGAAGGCGAUCUCCUGGAACAUAACUGACGCUAAGGCGUGAAAGCGUGGGGAGCAAACAGGAUUAGAUACCCGCGUAGUC
Molecule: ribosomal RNA, 439 nt
Filed under: uncultured bacterium
Lineage: Bacteria
Description: partial 16S ribosomal RNA
Rfam family: Bacterial small subunit ribosomal RNA
Source: RNAcentral